Non-coding RNA from Salmo salar (Atlantic salmon), 1279 nucleotides. NCBI's taxonomy places the organism in Eukaryota, Metazoa, Chordata, Actinopteri, Salmoniformes, Salmonidae. The record is from RefSeq and is a predicted model, not a curated record.
CGUCAUUAGACGGAAAAGGAAGAACGUCAUUAUACGGAAGAGGAAGGAAAAGUGUGUUUGAAACUAAAAUCGCUAGUAACAACCAGCAUCAAACGUAACAUUGCUUGUCAAAUGGAUAUCAUUUCUCGUUAUGGUUUGUAGUUAUGCUGGCUGUGCUUCUGCUGUCUUUCUACAACAUCCGAAGUUUCCCUGGCACACAAACGUACUUGUUUCAUUUCGAAUGCUAAGCUGGACAGGAAAAUGGUCCAAUUCACACACUGAUCAAGACAACAUCCCUGGUCGUCCCUACUGCCUCUGAUCUGGAGGACUCACUAAACAGAGAACAUCCCUGGUCAUCCCUACUGCCUCUGAUCUGGAGGACUCACUAAACAGAGAACAUCCCUGGUCAUCCCUACUGCCUCUGAUCUGGAGGACUCACUAAACAGAGAACAUCCCUGGUCAUCCCUACUGCCUCUGAUCUGGAGGACUCACUAAACAGAGAACAUCCCUGGUCAUCCCUACUGCCUCUGAUCUGGAGGACUCACUAAACAGAGAACAUCCCUGGUCAUCCCUACUGCCUCUGAUCUGGAGGACUCACUAAACAGAGAACAUCCCUGGUCAUCCCUACUGCCUCUGAUCUGGAGGACUCACUAAACAGAGAACAUCCCUGGUCAUCCCUACUGCCUCUGAUCUGGAGGACUCACUAAACAGAGAACAUCCCUGGUCAUCCCUACUGCCUCUGAUCUGGAGGACUCACUAAACAGAGAACAUCCCUGGUCCUCCCUACUGCCUCUGAUCUGGAGGACUCACUAAACAGAGAACAUCCCUGGUCAUCCCUACUGCCUCUGAUCUGGAGGACUCACUAAACACAUGCUUCAUUUGUAAAUGAUGUCUGAUUGUUGGAGUGUUCCCCUGGUUAUUUCUUAAAUAAAAUAACAAGAGAAUCGUGCUGUCUGGUUUGCUUAAUAUAUGGAAGGUCAAAUCAUUUAUACUUUUACCACUGAUACUUAAGUAUAUUUUAGCAAUGACGUUUACUUAGUAUUUUACUGGGUGACUUUCACUUUUACUUGAGUCAUUUUCUAUUAACAUCGUCUUAUUAUUGUACCUUUUUCCCUUCAUUUGCCUACUACUGUCUAUAAGCUGUCAUAACAUGUGGGUUUUUUCAUGGGUACCAGGUAUCGGAACGCCUUUGAAGGGUCUACAAAGCCCCCAGGUAAAAGUUGGCUUUUGCAGACAAGGAUUGUAUUGUUACUCCACGACAUAAUAUGUUAUCACAACUCUAUUAAAAGGACAUUCUACA